UGGGGUAUGUGCUUACUCAAGGCCAGCUAGCUGAUUUGUUCACCCAAGCCUUGGAGAGUCCAACAGAUUCAAAAGUUUAACAAGCUUUGUUGGGGUGUGUCAAGCUUGAAAGUGUAGACAAUUAUGAACGGUAUCCGUACGGCGAUCCCUGAUGUUGUUUUUGACUUAUUUUGUGAUCACUCAUGGUGAUUUUUAUCUGCUAAAGUUUUGGAGGCUAAUAAAAUAAAAAAUAAAAAUACAUUUUUAUUGUUGUCAUCUGUUGUAUUCUGUUAGUUUGGCCUCUUCUCAUGUAUUCCUUUUGCAGGAACGGUCCCGGUGACAUGGAGGCCACACGCGGGGAUCUCACGUGGGAAGCCGACCCUCCGAUGCCCCUCCAGUGUAUUCCAGGAGCUUCUGGAAUUCUUGGCUAUUGAAAUUCUCUUUUCUUUUGGGCUCCUUCGGGUUUGGGCUAG
This 452-nucleotide long non-coding RNA is filed under the name Gossypium barbadense (sea-island cotton). RNAcentral's name for it is "long non-coding RNA (GBAR_LNC009732)". Lineage: Eukaryota; Viridiplantae; Streptophyta; Magnoliopsida; Malvales; Malvaceae. The record is from RNAcentral.